CUCCAGACUCCUACGGGAGGCAGCAGUGGGGAAUAUUGCACAAUGGGGGGAACCCUGAUGCAGCGACGCCGCGUGAGUGAAGAAGUAUUUCGGCAUGUAAAGCUCUAUCAGCAGGGAAGAAAAUGACGGUACCUGACUAAGAAGCCCCGGCUAACUACGUGCCAGCAGCCGCGGUAAUACGUAGGGGGCAAGCGUUAUCCGGAUUUACUGGGUGUAAAGGGAGCGCAGACGGCUGUGCAAGUCUGGAGUGAAAGGCGGGGGCCCAACCCCCGGACUGCAUUGGAAACUGUUAGGCUGGAGUGUCGGAGAGGUAAGCGGAAUUCCUAGUGUAGCGGUGAAAUGCGUAGAUAUUAGGAGGAACACCAGUGGCGAAGGCGGCUUACUGGACUGUAACUGACGUUGAGGCUCGAAAGCGUGGGGAGCGAACAGGAUUAGAUACCCGAGUACC
Molecule: ribosomal RNA, 448 nt
Filed under: uncultured bacterium
Lineage: Bacteria
Description: bacterial SSU rRNA
Rfam family: Bacterial small subunit ribosomal RNA
Source: RNAcentral